GAACGCGUCUUGGUUAUUGAUGUUAGAUGCUUGCAUUUAACUGACUUAACAUUGAGACGAGUGGCGAACUGGUGAGUAACACGUGGGUAACCUGCCCUUGAAGUAGGGGAUAACACUUGGAAACAGGUGCUAAUACCGUAUAACAACCAAAACCACCUGGUUUUGGUUUAAAAGAUGGCUUCGGCUAUCACUUUAGGAUGGACCCGCGGCGUAUUAGCUUGUUGGUAAGGUAACGGCCUACCAAGGCAAUGAUACGUAGCCGACCUGAGAGGGUAAUCGGCCACAUUGGGACUGAGACACGGCCCAAACUCCUACGGGAGGCAGCAGUAGGGAAUCUUCCACAAUGGACGAAAGUCUGAUGGAGCAACGCCGCGUGAGUGAUGAAGGGUUUCGGCUCGUAAAACUCUGUUGUUGGAGAAGAACGGGUGUGAGAGUAACUGUUCACAUCUUGACGGUAUCCAACCAGAAAGCCACGGCUAACUACGUGCCAGCAGCCGCGGUAAUACGUAGGUGGCAAGCGUUGUCCGGAUUUAUUGGGCGUAAAGCGAGCGCAGGCGGUUUCUUAGGUCUGAUGUGAAAGCCUUCGGCUUAACCGGAGAAGUGCAUCGGAAACCAGGAGACUUGAGUGCAGAAGAGGACAGUGGAACUCCAUGUGUAGCGGUGAAAUGCGUAGAUAUAUGGAAGAACACCAGUGGCGAAGGCGGCUGUCUGGUCUGUAACUGACGCUGAGGCUCGAAAGCAUGGGUAGCGAACAGGAUUAGAUACCCUGGUAGUCCAUGCCGUAAACGAUGAGUGCUAAGUGUUGGAGGGUUUCCGCCCUUCAGUGCUGCAGCUAACGCAUUAAGCACUCCGCCUGGGGAGUACGACCGCAAGGUUGAAACUCAAAGGAAUUGACGGGGGCCCGCACAAGCGGUGGAGCAUGUGGUUUAAUUCG
RNAcentral lists this ribosomal RNA (934 nucleotides) under uncultured bacterium. Its description in RNAcentral is "bacterial SSU rRNA". It matches the Rfam family "Bacterial small subunit ribosomal RNA", at positions 31 to 953 of the family's 1533-position model. The record is from RNAcentral.